UUACUUACCAAGCACAGGAGAUACCAUGAGCAGGAGGGAAUUUUUUCCAGGGAAAGGUUUAUCUAUUGGACUGCAAAUGUGCUUUUCCCUCUAUUUCCCUCAAAUGUAGGAAAUUUGAACUGGUAAUUUGUGGUGGUGGGGAACUGUGUUCAUGCUCUCCUCUG
Non-coding RNA from Neotoma lepida (desert woodrat), 164 nucleotides. Lineage: Eukaryota; Metazoa; Chordata; Mammalia; Rodentia; Cricetidae. The record is from Rfam.